GAGGGUGUAGCUCAAGUGGUAGAGCACAUGCUUAGCAUGCACAAGGUCCUGGGUUCAAUCCCCAGUGCCUCCU
Molecule: transfer RNA, 73 nt
Filed under: Camelus bactrianus (Bactrian camel)
Lineage: Eukaryota; Metazoa; Chordata; Mammalia; Artiodactyla; Camelidae
Also listed under: 3 other names
Rfam family: tRNA
About the family: Transfer RNA (tRNA) molecules are approximately 80 nucleotides in length. Their secondary structure includes four short double-helical elements and three loops (D, anti-codon, and T loops). Further hydrogen bonds mediate the characteristic L-shaped molecular structure. tRNAs have two regions of fundamental functional importance: the anti-codon, which is responsible for specific mRNA codon recognition, and the 3' end, to which the tRNAs corresponding amino acid is attached (by aminoacyl-tRNA synthetases). tRNAs cope with the degeneracy of the genetic code in two manners: having more than one tRNA (with a specific anti-codon) for a particular amino acid; and 'wobble' base-pairing, i.e. permitting non-standard base-pairing at the 3rd anti-codon position.
Source: Rfam by way of RNAcentral